Phragmites australis (common reed) is the source of this 1257-nucleotide long non-coding RNA. RefSeq lists it as uncharacterized. The transcript has 7 exons. Lineage: Eukaryota; Viridiplantae; Streptophyta; Magnoliopsida; Poales; Poaceae. The record is from RefSeq and is a predicted model, not a curated record.
CUCUUUCUCUUCCGCCCCCUGCGUCUUCCUCCGCCCGCCCGCGUCUCACGUCAUCCGCUCCCAGUGAGAAACACCCCUCCAUUCCACUCGCUCGCUCGCGUCGCCUCCUCCGCAUCCGGUCGCCCCUCGCCUCCGCGCCCCCUCGGCGCCCUGGUCGCCGCCAGAGCAUCGCCUAGCCGCUCCGAUCCCAGUGUUCGACACGAUGCAGCCGCCGAUGGAGAACGAGAGGCCAACAGCCCCCGGCCGGCCCAUCACCCCCUUCGUGCCCGGCGCCGCCGUCCCACGGCCUCUGGGGGCGUCCUUGCCGUUCGCCGCCGGUGGCCCGUUCUUGCAACCCGGCCUUCGCUGAUGAUCGCUGUCGCUGAAAAUAAGUGGCGGAUUGGGUACCAGACGUAGCAGCAAUGGAUCGCUUGAGCAUGUGAAUCGGCUGGGAUGGGAUGCCAAGGUCUUUGCGCCGCCGGCGCAGGUGGGUGGCGGGGCGGGGUUGCCCUUCCCAUUUGAGUCCGUUGGGCACCACAACCGCCUUGGUCUCUUCCUCUUCACGCUCACCCGGUCAUGCGAGGAUUUUUUGGAGCCUCCACUGGAAGAACUUUUAAGGCAGCUGAAGGCGCAAGGUGGUAGACGAUUUAGCUAAUGGUUGGCUCUGUGAGCAGCUGACAAGUACCCUGUCAGCGCUGAACUCACCUGAUGAUUUGUUCAACUUUUUCGAUAAGCUACGAGGUGUGCUCACUGCACCAGAAGGUGCAAGUGUGGAGGACGUAUUUCUGGAUCCAAAUAGUCAACUUGGAAUUUUUCUUCGCUGCUGCAUACUUGCCUUCAAUUCAAUGACCUUUGAGGGCGUGUGCCAUCUUUUGGCAGAUCUUGUGGUGUACUGUAACUCUGCUGAUGCUUCAUAUGACUUGGCAGAAGAUGAGGACUUCAACAGCGAAAUGAGCAACUUGAUGGAUGCAGAUAUAGGUGUAUAUUUGACAAAUACAAUCAAGGCUAUGCUGCUGGGAGCUCUAUCGGGGAGAGCUCUUCAGCUCUGACUCAUGCACCAAUGAAGACGUCCAAAUGAGCCGUGUCUAUUGGGCCGGCCCGAGGCAGGCACUGUAGGCACGACCCAAGCACGGCACGGCCCGAUCACCGACGGGUCGGCACGGCACGAGGUCACGGGCCGUGCCUGGGCCGAGCGUGCGGCAUGACGGGCCGGCAAGGUCCGGCCCGGCACGUAUUUUCUAUUUUUUAUAUAUAUUUUUAAUUUUUAGCUAUUUUUAA